This is a microRNA precursor of Gorilla gorilla gorilla (western lowland gorilla), 76 nucleotides long. NCBI's taxonomy places the organism in Eukaryota, Metazoa, Chordata, Mammalia, Primates, Hominidae. The record is from Ensembl.
UGUGACCCUAGAAUAAUUACCCAACGUCUCUGAGUCUCGGUUUUGAGAGGAUGAGUAAUUAUUCUAGGGUCACACA